RNAcentral lists this ribosomal RNA (550 nucleotides) under uncultured bacterium. RNAcentral describes it as "bacterial SSU rRNA". It matches the Rfam family "Bacterial small subunit ribosomal RNA", at positions 355 to 896 of the family's 1533-position model. The record is from RNAcentral.
UAGGGAAUCUUCCGCAAUGGACGCAAGUCUGACGGAGCAACGCCGCGUGAGUGAAGAAGGUUUUCGGAUCGUAAAACUCUGUUGUUAGAGAAGAACAAGUGCUAGAGUAACUGUUAGCGCCUUGACGGUAUCUAACCAGAAAGCCACGGCUAACUACGUGCCAGCAGCCGCGGUAAUACGUAGGUGGCAAGCGUUGUCCGGAUUUAUUGGGCGUAAAGCGAGCGCAGGCAGUUCCUUAAGUCUGAUGUGAAAGCCCCCGGCUCAACCGGGGAGGGUCAUUGGAAACUGGGGAACUUGAGUGCAGAAGAGGAGAGUGGAAUUCCAUGUGUAGCGGUGAAAUGCGUAGAUAUAUGGAGGAACACCAGUGGCGAAGGCGACUCUCUGGUCUGUAACUGACGCUGAGGCUCGAAAGCGUGGGUAGCAAACAGGAUUAGAUACCCUGGUAGUCCACGCCGUAAACGAUGAGUGCUAAGUGUUGGAGGGUUUCCGCCCUUCAGUGCUGCAGUUAACGCAUUAAGCACUCCGCCUGGGGAGUACGACCGCAAGGUUG